RNA transcript from Oncorhynchus kisutch (coho salmon), 3791 nucleotides. It is a transcript of the gene named lysophosphatidylcholine acyltransferase 1, with no coding region annotated. The record is from RefSeq and is a predicted model, not a curated record. The transcript is spliced from 15 exons. Lineage: Eukaryota; Metazoa; Chordata; Actinopteri; Salmoniformes; Salmonidae.
GCUUCCCCGCCCCACUCAACGAGUUGAUGUUUCUCGAGCAUACCUAUCAGCGCCAUCAGUACAUGUGUCGCUAGCCUAGAAAGUCGGUUUCAAAGAAGCAUUGCCUGUUUAUUGUGGAAUAGAAAAACCGUUGCGAACUGAUAAGUGUUAGUUUAUUUGUUUUCAGUUAUGAAGUUGCCAGAUGAGCAGCAUCCUUCCUUGGAGAUUAGAGAUAGGUCGGAUUUGCCAACCCCUUUCAGAAAUCCUUUCGUUCACGAGUUACGAUUCACCCCCUUGGAGAAAAUCAGGAUUGGUGUGAUGACUGUGACAGUGUUCCCAGUACGGUUGUUCUUUGCAGUGUUCCUCAUGUUGCUGGCCUGGCCCUUUGCCUUCGCUGCCUCUCUGGGACGAUCUGAACUGGCCGUGGAGACCGAGACCUGGUGGAGGAGGAUCUGUGACAUAGCCCUGAGGGUGCUCAUGCGAGCCAUGUGGUUCUGUGGAGGUUUCCAUUGGGUGACGGUGAAGGGGGAACCGGCCCCGCCCUCGCAGGCGCCCAUCCUCACCCUGGCCCCUCACUCUUCCUACUUCGACGCCAUCCCCAUUACCAUGACCAUGGCCUCUAUCGUCAUGAAGACCGAGAGCAAGAAUAUCCCCGUCUGGGGUACUUUGAUAAAGUUCAUAAGGCCAGUGUUCGUGUCGCGGUCGGACCAGGAUUCUCGUAGGAAGACAGUUGAGGAGAUCAAACGCAGAGCCCAUGCUGGAGGGGAGUGGCCUCAGAUAAUGAUAUUUCCAGAGGGGACAUGUACCAACAGAUCCUGCCUCAUCACAUUCAAGCCUGGGGCCUUCAUUCCAGCAGUUCCAGUUCAACCAGUAGUCCUGCGUUACCCCAACAAAAUGGUUUCAUGUCCUUCUCUCCACUGCCCCUUCACACCCUCAUUAAUUAUAAACCUGUGACUACCUGCUCUAACUUGAACUAGAAAGCCAUGUGCAGUAGAGACUCCCCGGCUGCAUCUCAAUAGUCUAGUGGCUUCCUUUCCUCGUCUCCUUUCCUGCAUCUCAAUAGUCUAGUGGCUUGCUCUCCUCAUCUCCUCCUUUCCUUUACCUGCAAUAGCACAAAAUAACUGAAAGUAAAAGCAAGUCUCAAGUAGACGAUCCUCCAUGUUGCUUUCAAGCUGUCCAGUGUUUUCAGACCAGUGCAGACAAAGGAGAGGGGAGAGGAAGCUCCUGUAGGCCUCAGUCCUGCUGUGUGUAACCAAUGAACACACUGGGAUUUUGUGUCCGAGUGUUUCGAAUGGAUCCAAUGCUUUUAAAUGGGAGUUAUCGGUUGUUGGAUGAAUGACAACUGAGAUGAUUGUCUGACACACAAAUCACGAAUGGUCCAUCUUCGAAAAUAGGAUACCAUCACAUGGACAUGGCAAGGCCCUGGAGCAUUUGAGAUACUGUGGCUGACACUGUGCCAGUUUCACAACCCCAUAGAGAUUGAGUACCUACCGCUCUACACUCCUUCAGAGGAAGAGAAGAACAACCCUGCUCUGUUCGCCAACAAUGUCAGACGCAUCAUGGCCAAGGCCCUGGAGCUGCCCAUCACAGACCUGUCAUUUGAUGACUGCCAGCUGAGCCAAGCAAAGGGCCCGUUGCGUGUCCCUACCAACAGCAGCCUACUGCAGUUCAAUAGACUCGCUCGAAGGCUCGGGUUGAGAACAGGGACUACAGAUACAGUCUUGCAGCAGGCUAGCAGAGCCAGGAACAUUUGGGGAUACAGACUGGGAUUGGAGGACUUUGCUCAGUACCUCGAUCUACCUGUGACGGACAUGCUCACAGAGUUACACAGCCUUUUUAACCAGCAUGGAGAUGGCCAAAUAGAUGUCAGGGAGUAUGUGAUAGCCCUGUCUGUGGUGUGUCAACCCUCUAAAGCCAUGGACACCCUCAGGCUCGCCUUUGGAAUGUACGAGGCGAAGGAGGACAGGGCGAUCGUGGAAAAAGAGCUGGGGUCCAUUUUGAGAACGGCGUUGGGAGUAGCAGAGGUCGACGUUACAGAGUUGUUCUCAGCAAUCGACACACUUGACGCAGGGAAGAUCACACAUGAUGACUUCUGUCGGUUUGUGGUGCAGCACCCAGACUUUGCUCAGGAGUACCUUCUCUCCUCCAGGGAAACCCCCUCUACCCCUCACACUGUCCCGCUGACCAACGGGUUCAGUGUGGAACAUUACAACACAGAGGAGCCGACCUGCAGCAUCCCUGGACAGAAGAAGAAAGAAGACUGAGAGACACUCAAAUGGAUCCAUCUACUGCCUAUGACAGAAAGGAGGGAGGAGGGAUAGGAGGAGGACUGGACCUCUACCAAACAAAUCUAUAUUCUACAGUUACUAUAUCUUCUCUGUCGUUGUGGCCUGUAUGUUCUACCAGAGAGAAGGAGCGAGGGAUAGUUUAUUUCGGGAUAAGGAGGGGUGGAUAGAGAGGGAAGAAACUAUCAGACGGAUAGAGGAUAUUGAGACUGAAAGGGAGAGAUGGUGGUGGAGAAGGGUUGGGUAUGCUGAAGGAGAGUAGAGGAGGAUGAGGUAGGGAUGGAGAGAUGGAUAGAGAUAGUUGGUUAGUGAGAGGAUAUGAGGGAGGGUGGAGCCGAUCCGUUCCUCCGGACACCAUCUCACACCAAUACUCCAUCUUUGUUUUGUCUGCUAGUGUUUUCAAGGACUUCAUGCUUUCUAACUUUCCAACAUGAGUUACAGAAACUGCAUACCUGAAGUUUUUAGAAACACUUUGGCUAUUUAUUGUAAAAAGGGUUUUACUUUUUUCUUAUGUAUAGGUAUUUAUUUGUCUUUAAUUUUGAUCAAACUAUCUAUGUCUGUUAUUAUGACUACUGUGCACUCUCCAGUAAGAUUUUAAUUUUUAAGAUUAGUUUUAUCAGGUGAUUAAGCACCAAACUGAGCUCAGCUUAAUCACUGCCUUUCAUAACGAGAUUGACUGAGAUUAAAUGGAUCAAGCUGAAACGGGAUAACAUCCAGACUCAAACUAUUCUUCAACUAAGCAUCUCCCUGCCUCGUAGACCAUAGCAACUCACAAGACAUUAAACUGUUAAAAUGGAUGAAUAUGGGACCAAACUUCAACUUCUUUUUAAACCAGGGGCCUCUUGCGCGUUCACAUUGAGCUCCUUAUUGCCUUUUAAACCAUAAAAAACAUGUGUUAUUUUAAUGUUAUUUGAGCUUAAGUGAAGCAUCUAACAGCAUACGUAUCUUUAUUUUCAUAAGCAUAAAGACUGGGGGCUUCAGAUGAACAUGUGUUGUUUUCUCUUUUCUUAUUCGAUGAACAGAGUACCAGAGUUGGGAAUGGCACCCUAUACUCUAUAUAGUGCACAUUUGUCUCUGGUCAAAAGCAGUGCACUAUAUAGGGAAUAGGGUGCAUUUCGGACAUAGCCUCAGUUAAAAUAUUCAGUUAAGAUGUUUCCCUCUUAUUUUUUUUUACCUCUCAUAUCACUCUGGAAGUAAGUUGCCCUUAGGCAAAGAUCUAAGAUCAGCUCACCUUGCUGAAAUUCUAACAUGAACCAUUUAAGCAUCGGCAAUCAUGAAACUGAUCUGGGAUCAGUUCUGACCUUUAUGAUAAGCAAUCAAUCUAUUGCCUUUUUGCACCGGUUUUGUUUUGAAUUCUCUGCAGUUUGGCUUUGAAGCGACACCUUUUGUAUGUUGUACAUUUGUGGUAUAUAAAUCUUUGAAUGUUUUUGAGUAUUCAUUUAGUAAGAAAGUGGAUUGGAAAUGAUGAAUACCUAUGCAGUGCUCCAUGCCUUCAAUGUUGAGAAUUAAAUCAUGACAUUUCCACAA